RNAcentral lists this long non-coding RNA (549 nucleotides) under Mytilus galloprovincialis (Mediterranean mussel). The record is from RNAcentral. Lineage: Eukaryota; Metazoa; Mollusca; Bivalvia; Mytilida; Mytilidae.
AAUUAAGUACGAAGUUGAAGAUCAUUGAGGACCAAAAUUCCUAAAAGUUUUGCCAAAUACAGCAAAGGCAAUCUAUGCCUAAGGCAGAAAUGCCCCAGUCCGUCAAAAAAUUCACAACUUUGUUAACAGUAAAUUAACAAAUAUAACCAUAUCAAUGACAAUUCAUGCCAGCACAAAAAAGUGGUGACUACUGGGCUUGUGAUAUCCUCGGGGAAAUAAAUCUCCCCCAGCAGUGGCAUCGACCCAGUGGUUGUAAAUAAACUCAUCAUAGAUACCAAGACUAAAUUUAGUAUAUACGCCAGUAAGCUAUACGUAAAUGCAGCUAGAAUUUAAUGGGAGGAAAAAAAUAAACAAACAUCAAUAUUUAAAGACCAAGUGUUUAAAAAAAAUAUACAAAGACAACAAACGAACAAAGAAAGCUUAGGAUGUCCAGCAUGAAACACACCUAAAACGAAUCCCUGAAAAAAAAAACCAAAAGGUGCUAUGGCAGAGUUAGCAUUUCCAUUUGUAUACACCCCCUUUUUACAACAACAAAAUAAUUAUCCUGCC